UCGCCAUUUAAAGUGGUACGCGAGCUGGGUUUAGAACGUCGUGAGACAGUUCGGUCCCUAUCUGCCGUGGGCGCUGGAGAACUGAGGGGGGCUGCUCCUAGUACGAGAGGACCGGAGUGGACGCAUCACUGGUGUUCGGGUUGUCAUGCCAAUGGCACUGCCCGGUAGCUAAAUGCGGAAGAGAUAAGUGCUGAAAGCAUCUAAGCACGAAACUUGCCCCGAGAUGAGUUCUCCCUGACUCCUUGAGAGUCCUGAAGGAACGUUGAAGACGACGACGUUGAUAGGCCGGGUGUGUAAGCGCAGCGAUGCGUUGAGCUAACCGGUACUAAUGAACCGUGAGGCUUAACCUUACAACGCCGAAG
Molecule: ribosomal RNA, 362 nt
Filed under: Escherichia coli
Lineage: Bacteria; Pseudomonadati; Pseudomonadota; Gammaproteobacteria; Enterobacterales; Enterobacteriaceae
Description: bacterial LSU rRNA
Rfam family: Bacterial large subunit ribosomal RNA
Source: RNAcentral